GCCACGUGUCUUCCAAUAAUUCGUUUCACGCUUUUACUGCAUUUUUUAGUAAUUGUACAUUUUUUCAGCAAAUCGAAAGCAUCAAGACAGCAUUUCCACUCGAAUCACUCAAACAUCCAAGUAGUGUCAUUACAAAUCAAAAGUCGUAAAUAUUUUGAAGGCAGAAACUCAAAACAGUAAAAUGUUUCAUUCAGUGAGGUUAUAUAAAAAAAUGCAGUGUGAAUUUACGGUGAAAAAUUGCAGUUCUCACAGCGAGUAAACGCUAAAUACCCAACCGAAGACACGGGCCCAGCAGUUGGUGUGUGUAAUUUGUCGUCAUUCGUAACGCCCAGCGAUAUUCCCCUGAUGUUUGCCACUUAGCAAAGGGUUCCGUAUCCAUUGCCAAUAUUUCGAGUACGAAUUCAAGCGAAUUUAUGUAGUGGAAGUGCGUAAAGAGAGUUUCAGCAGCUGAUAACCGUGGGAAAGGGAGAUAACAGCAUAGACAUCUGAUUCGGAGAUUUCAAGCGGCAUAAUUAAAGAUGUUAUUAAAACAAGCUCUGGAACACUUUGCUGAAGUCGGCCUCUAAGGAUUGCGAACCAACCGCUUGGGUAGACACAUUCAUCGUAUUCAAAGAAAAAGCUUCGGAUGUCAAAGAAGAAGCCUCUGAGGACUGCGAACCCUCCUUCUGGGUGGGCGAAUUUAACGUAUUCGAUCCAUUCGGCUGCUCAGGAUCAAGAUCUUUAAUAGAUCUUCCGUCAUCGGGAACUCGUUGUUUCCAGUUGGGCUUGCAUCCGCGUUUGGCAUCACUGUCAUUAUUGAAAUCAGUUGAGCUCUAGAGGUGGUUUCAGUUACCUGAGGAACCACCACCAUGCUCAACUGAAUUCAGAAAUGGCAGAGAUGACAAACGCGCAUGCCAAUCCAGCUUGGAAACAACUAAUUCCCAAUGACGGAAGAUCUAUUAAGGAUCUUGAUCCUGAGCAGCCAAAUGGAUCGAAUACGAGUUCUUAAUGACGGAAGAUCUAUAAAGAUGAUGUAUAUAUAUUUCCUAAUUGAGGCUCUGCAAUACUUCGCUGAAGUAUUCUUUGUCGAACGGAGAAGCUUCGGUUGUCAAAGAAGUAGCUUCUGUUGUCAAAAGAGGAGCCUCUGAGAAGUGCGAACCCUCCUUCGGGCGAAUUUAUCGUAUUCGAUCCAUUUGGCUGCUCGGCAUCCUCCGUUAUCAAAAACUUGUUGUUUCCAGUUGUUUCCAGUCAACAAAGGAGUGAUUUAAAAUACAAAAUUUAAGAUGA
Long non-coding RNA from Drosophila sechellia, 1266 nucleotides. RefSeq lists it as uncharacterized. The transcript is spliced from 3 exons. NCBI's taxonomy places the organism in Eukaryota, Metazoa, Arthropoda, Insecta, Diptera, Drosophilidae. The record is from RefSeq and is a predicted model, not a curated record.